AAGGGUUUGAUCCUGGCUCAGAUUGAACGCUGGCGGCAGGCCUAACACAUGCAAGUCGAGCGGAUGAAGGGAGCUUGCUCCUGGAUUCAGCGGCGGACGGGUGAGUAAUGCCUAGGAAUCUGCCUGGUAGUGGGGGAUAACGUCCGGAAACGGGCGCUAAUACCGCAUACGUCCUGAGGGAGAAAGUGGGGGAUCUUCGGACCUCACGCUAUCAGAUGAGCCUAGGUCGGAUUAGCUAGUUGGUGGGGUAAAGGCCUACCAAGGCGACGAUCCGUAACUGGUCUGAGAGGAUGAUCAGUCACACUGGAACUGAGACACGGUCCAGACUCCUACGGGAGGCAGCAGUGGGGAAUAUUGGACAAUGGGCGAAAGCCUGAUCCAGCCAUGCCGCGUGUGUGAAGAAGGUCUUCGGAUUGUAAAGCACUUUAAGUUGGGAGGAAGGGCAGUAAGUUAAUACCUUGCUGUUUUGACGUUACCAACAGAAUAAGCACCGGCUAACUUCGUGCCAGCAGCCGCGGUAAUACGAAGGGUGCAAGCGUUAAUCGGAAUUACUGGGCGUAAAGCGCGCGUAGGUGGUUCAGCAAGUUGGAUGUGAAAUCCCCGGGCUCAACCUGGGAACUGCAUCCAAAACUACUGAGCUAGAGUACGGUAGAGGGUGGUGGAAUUUCCUGUGUAGCGGUGAAAUGCGUAGAUAUAGGAAGGAACACCAGUGGCGAAGGCGACCACCUGGACUGAUACUGACACUGAGGUGCGAAAGCGUGGGGAGCAAACAGGAUUAGAUACCCUGGUAGUCCACGCCGUAAACGAUGUCGACUAGCCGUUGGGAUCCUUGAGAUCUUAGUGGCGCAGCUAACGCGAUAAGUCGACCGCCUGGGGAGUACGGCCGCAAGGUAAAACUCAAAGGAAUUGACGGC
This 914-nucleotide ribosomal RNA is filed under the name uncultured bacterium. Its description in RNAcentral is "bacterial SSU rRNA". It matches the Rfam family "Bacterial small subunit ribosomal RNA", at positions 1 to 917 of the family's 1533-position model. The record is from RNAcentral.